AACGGGAAAGUCCUGUACGACCAGCUCCUUCAAAACUCCCCCAGGGCGGGAACGCAGCAAGGGUAUGAAGUCGUAGCGGUGCGAUAUAGUAAGCUUUCCCU
This 101-nucleotide signal recognition particle RNA is filed under the name bovine gut metagenome. RNAcentral describes it as "Bacteroidales small SRP". It matches the Rfam family "Bacteroidales small SRP", at positions 8 to 103 of the family's 107-position model. Rfam says of the family: The non-coding component of the signal recognition particle in Bacteroides The record is from RNAcentral.